RNAcentral lists this ribosomal RNA (440 nucleotides) under uncultured bacterium. Its description in RNAcentral is "partial 16S ribosomal RNA". It matches the Rfam family "Bacterial small subunit ribosomal RNA", at positions 338 to 795 of the family's 1533-position model. The record is from RNAcentral.
CCUACGGGUGGCAGCAGUGGGGAAUAUUGCACAAUGGGGGAAACCCUGAUGCAGCGACGCCGCGUGAGUGAAGAAGUAUCUCGGUAUGUAAAGCCCCAUCAGCAGGGAAGAAAAUGACGGUACCUGAUUAAGAAGCCCCGGCUAACUACGUGCCAGCAGCCGCGGUAAUACGUAGGGGGCAAGCGUUAUCCGGAUUUACUGGGUGUAAAGGGAGCGUAGACGGCAGCGCAAGUCUGAAGUGAAAUGCCGGGGCUUAACCCCGGAACUGCUUUGGAAACUGUGCAGCUAGAGUGCAGGAGAGGUAAGUGGAAUUCCUGGUGUAGCGGUGAAAUGCGUAGAUAUUAGGAGGAACACCAGUGGCGAAGGCGGCAUACUGGACUGUAACUGACGUUGAGGCUCGAAAGCGUGGGGAGCGAACAGGAUUAGAUACCCGGGUAGUC